This is a non-coding RNA of Ciona savignyi (Pacific transparent sea squirt), 72 nucleotides long. The record is from Rfam. Lineage: Eukaryota; Metazoa; Chordata; Ascidiacea; Phlebobranchia; Cionidae.
GGGGAUGUAGCUCAGUGGUAGAGCGCACCCUUUGCAUGUGUGAGGCCCCGGGUUCAAUCCCCGGCAUCUCCA